CCUACGGGAGGCUGCAGUGGGGAAUAUUGCACAAUGGGGGGAACCCUGAUGCAGCAACGCCGCGUGGGUGAAGAAGUACUUCGGGAUGUAAAGCCCUGUCAGCAGGGAAGAAAAUGACGGUACCUGACCAAGAAGCCCCGGCUAACUACGUGCCAGCCGCCGCGGUAAUACGUAGGGGGCAAGCGUUAUCCGGAUUUACUGGGUGUAAAGGGAGCGUAGACGGCAAGGCAAGUCUGGAGUGAAAGCCCGGGGCUCAACCACGGGACUGCUUUGGAAACUGUGGUGCUGGAGUGCAGGAGGGGUAAGCGGAAUUCCUAGUGUAGCGGUGAAAUGCGUAGAUAUUAGGAGGAACACCGGUGGCGAAGGCGGCUUACUGGACUGUAACUGACGUUGAGGCUCGAAGGCGUGGGGAGCAAACAGGAUUAGAUACCCUAGUAGUC
This 440-nucleotide ribosomal RNA is filed under the name uncultured bacterium. RNAcentral's name for it is "partial 16S ribosomal RNA". It matches the Rfam family "Bacterial small subunit ribosomal RNA", at positions 338 to 795 of the family's 1533-position model. The record is from RNAcentral.